GUUACAGGUGUCGCCAUCAAUCCGUUGCCCCCUUCGCCUAUAAAAGGGGGGGACUCAGAUACGUUAUUCUCUAAGCUCAUUUCCUUAUCUCAAAACUCUGCUAAAUUCUCCGUUCGAGCACUCCAUUCUUGUUGAGGCAGAGAACUGACUUGAGCGUCGGAGGGUCUUGCCGGAGCAACCCCACCUCCGGUUUAGACUUCCCUUG
RNAcentral lists this long non-coding RNA (205 nucleotides) under Elaeis guineensis (African oil palm). RNAcentral's name for it is "long non-coding RNA (EGUI_LNC066813)". The record is from RNAcentral. Lineage: Eukaryota; Viridiplantae; Streptophyta; Magnoliopsida; Arecales; Arecaceae.